UACAGAGGUCCCAAGCGUUGUUCGGAUUCACUGGGCGUAAAGGGUGCGUAGGUGGUCAGGUAAGUCUGAUGUGAAAAGCUCUGGGCUCAACCCAGAAAUGGCAUUGGAUACUAUCUGGCUAGAGGAAUGGAGGGGGGACUGGAAUACUUGGUGUAGCAGUGAAAUGCGUAGAUAUCAAGUGGAACACCAGUGGCGAAGGCGAGUCCCUGGACAUUUCCUGACACUGAGGCACGAAAGCUAGGGGAGCAAACAGG
This 254-nucleotide ribosomal RNA is filed under the name uncultured bacterium. Its description in RNAcentral is "partial 16S ribosomal RNA". It matches the Rfam family "Bacterial small subunit ribosomal RNA", at positions 524 to 776 of the family's 1533-position model. The record is from RNAcentral.